RNAcentral lists this ribosomal RNA (345 nucleotides) under uncultured bacterium. Its description in RNAcentral is "partial 16S ribosomal RNA". It matches the Rfam family "Bacterial small subunit ribosomal RNA", at positions 338 to 694 of the family's 1533-position model. The record is from RNAcentral.
CCUACGGGAGGCAGCAGUCGAGAAUCAUUCACAAUGGGGGAAACCCUGAUGGUGCGACGCCGCGUGGGGGAAUGAAGGUCUUCGGAUUGUAAACCCCUGUCAUGUGGGAGCAAAUUAAAAAGAUAGUACCACAAGAGGAAGAGACGGCUAACUCUGUGCCAGCAGCCGCGGUAAUACAGAGGUCUCAAGCGUUGUUCGGAAUCACUGGGCGUAAAGCGUGCGUAGGCUGUUUCGUAAGUCGUGUGUGAAAGGCGCGGGCUCAACCCGCGGACGGCACAUGAUACUGCGAGACUAGAGUAAUGGAGGGGGAACCGGAAUGCUGGGGGUAGCAGUGAAAGGCGUAGA